RNAcentral lists this small RNA (85 nucleotides) under Pogona vitticeps (central bearded dragon). RNAcentral describes it as "MEST intronic transcript 1, antisense RNA conserved region 2 (ENSPVIG00000006892.1)". The record is from RNAcentral. Lineage: Eukaryota; Metazoa; Chordata; Lepidosauria; Squamata; Agamidae.
UCUCCCCUCAGGCUUCUUUUCUCAAGACUAAACAUGCCCAGUUCUUUCUCAAGUUCAGCUCCUGUCAAGGAGGCACAGUGGGGAA